GUUGAACGCUGGCGGCAUGCCUUACACAUGCAAGUCGAACGGCAGCACGGGUGCUUGCCCUUGGUGGUGAGAGGCGCACGCGUGUGUGUUACAUGGGGAUAAGUUCUGUAGUGGGGGAUAGCCAGGUGAAAACAGGGUUACUACCGCAUACGAAUUACGUAUGCCAGCUGGGGAACUACGGGACUACCGCUUUGGGGUUGGUCGAUGGCUGAUUAGCUAGUUGGUGGGGUAAAGGCCUACCAAGGCGACGACCAGUAGCUGGUCUGAGAGGACGACCAGCCACACUGGGACUGAGACACGGCCCAGACUCCUACGGGAGGCAGCAGUGGGGAAUUUUGGACAAUGGGCGAAAGCCUGAUCCAGCAAUGCCGCGUGCGUGAAGAAGGCCUUCGGGUUGUAAAGCACUGUUAUCCGGAAAGAAAACCUGUGCCCUAAUACGGUCGGGGGAUGACGGUACCGGAAGAAUAAGCACCGGCUAACUACGUG
RNAcentral lists this ribosomal RNA (486 nucleotides) under uncultured bacterium. Its description in RNAcentral is "partial 16S ribosomal RNA". It matches the Rfam family "Bacterial small subunit ribosomal RNA", at positions 28 to 507 of the family's 1533-position model. The record is from RNAcentral.